UUGGAAAUAAUUUUUUUUAUUUAAUGAAACUGGAUGGAGCUACUGCAGCGAUGCUUAUUGAAACCACAGCCAUGAUCGAGACCGAAAUUAAACUGAACCAUAGAUGCAGAAUUCUAUUCAACCAUAAAAUUGUGUUUUGCAGAAAGUUUUAAAAGCAAAGCUGCUUUCAUUUCAGCAGUAUCUGUUUCUUAUUUCCUAUUGGUAGAACCAGCAAUGAUUUUUUUUUGUGCUUACACAGAAACGAAAAUGGUGGCUACGAUGUGUUUGUUUUUGUUACGUGUUGCAUUGAAUUAUUCUCAAGGAAGUGUUCCCGCAGAUACCAAUUACUUUUUCUGCGGUGUAGGGCUAGGUAGAUAAUGUAAAGCUUUUGCUAAUCUCUGGACAAGACCUCUCGGUACUUAAAGAAUGUGGACGCUGGACGAUGAGAGAAAAAAAAAACUCAGUGUAGGCCUGUAUGUGGUGAAAGUGAAAGGUGUUAUUUGGGCUAUUUGUUUGUGCGUUGGUAAUAAAUAAUCGUGAAAUGUGGACGUACACAUUGCAGGAGUGCUUCGGCUCAGAAUAAGGGAGAUGAACACGAGUUCCUAAACUGAGGGUGGACAGUUUGCUGAUUGUGCUAUGUUAAAUAAAAAUUGAGUGCUUACAUUGUUAAA
Long non-coding RNA from Bacillus rossius redtenbacheri, 650 nucleotides. RefSeq lists it as uncharacterized. The record is from RefSeq and is a predicted model, not a curated record. NCBI's taxonomy places the organism in Eukaryota, Metazoa, Arthropoda, Insecta, Phasmatodea, Bacillidae. The transcript has 2 exons.